This 893-nucleotide ribosomal RNA is filed under the name uncultured archaeon. Its description in RNAcentral is "bacterial SSU rRNA". It matches the Rfam family "Archaeal small subunit ribosomal RNA", at positions 21 to 904 of the family's 1478-position model. The record is from RNAcentral.
CCCGACUGCUAUUUGGGUGAGGAUAAGCCAUGCGAGUUGAAUGGGAAACCUAAAGUUCCCAUGGCAAACUGCUCAGUAACACAUGAUCAACUUAACCUAUAGAGAAAAAUAACCUCGGGAAACUGAGGAUAAUGUUUCAUAGCUGAAUUGGCUUGGAAAAGUUUUUCGGCGAAAGGGGUAAAAAGAAUGGUUUUUAUCUGCUAUAGGAUAGGAUCGUGUUCGAUUAUGGUUGUUGGUGAGGUAAUGGCUCACCAAGCCGAUAAUCGAUAGGGGCCGUGAGAGCGGGAGCCCCGAGAUGGGUACUGAGACGACGACCCAGGCCUUACGAGGCGCAGCAGGCGCGAAACCUCCGCAAUACACGAAAGUGUGACGGGGUUACCCAAAGUGUUCAAUAGAACUGCGGUAGGUGAGUAAUGUUCCCUACUAGAAAGGAGAGGGCAAGGCUGGUGCCAGCCGCCGCGGUAAAACCAGCUCUUCAAGUGGUCGGGAUAAUAUUGGGCUUAAAGUGUCCGUAGCCGGUUUAGUAAGUUCCUGGUAAAAUCGGGUAGCUUAACUAUCUAUAUGCUAGGAAUACUACUAUACUAGAGGGCGGGAGAGGUCUGAGGUACUACAGGGGUAGGGGUGAAAUCUUAUAAUCCUUGUAGGACCACCAGUGGCGAAGGCGUCAGACUGAACGCGCCUGACGGUGAGGGACGAAAGCCAGGGGAGCGAACCGGAUUAGAUACCCGGGUAGUCCUGGCCGUAAACGAUGCAUACUAGGUGAUGGCACGGCCAUGAGCCGUGCCAGUGCCGUAGGGAAACCGUUAAGUGUGCCGCCUGGGAAGUACGGUCGCAAGGCUAAAACUUAAAGGAAUUGGCGGGGGAGCACCACAAGGGGUGAAGCCUGCGGUUCA